GAUGAACGCUGGCGGCGUGCUUAACACAUGCAAGUCGAACGAGAAGUGAAGACGGAAACCUUCGGGCGGAAGGCUUUAUUUCGAGUGGCGGACGGGUGAGUAACGCGUGGGUAACCUGCCUCAUACAGGGGGAUAACAGUUGGAAACGACUGUUAAUACCGCAUAAGACCACAGCACCGCAUGUUGCGGGGGUAAAAACUCCGGUGGUAUGAGAUGGACCCGCGUUCGAUUAGCCAGUUGGCGGGGUAACGGCCCACCAAAGCGACGAUCGAUAGCCGAUCUGAGAGGAUGACCGGCCACAUUGGGACUGAGACACGGCCCAAACUCCUACGGGAGGCAGCAGUGGGGAAUAUUGCACAAUGGGGGAAACCCUGAUGCAGCGACGCCGCGUGAGUGAAGAAGUAUUUCGGUAUGUAAAGCUCUAUAAGCAGGGAAGAAAAUGACGGUACCUGAGGAAGAAGCCCCGGCUAACUACGUG
Molecule: ribosomal RNA, 478 nt
Filed under: uncultured bacterium
Lineage: Bacteria
Description: partial 16S ribosomal RNA
Rfam family: Bacterial small subunit ribosomal RNA
Source: RNAcentral